Molecule: ribosomal RNA, 254 nt
Filed under: uncultured bacterium
Lineage: Bacteria
Description: partial 16S ribosomal RNA
Rfam family: Bacterial small subunit ribosomal RNA
Source: RNAcentral
UACAGAGGGUGCAAGCGUUGUUCGGAAUUAUUGGGCGUAAAGCGCGUGUAGGCGGCAUGGCAAGUCGGGUGUGAAAGCCCUCAGCUUAACUGAGGAAGUGCGCCCGAAACUGCCGUGCUUGAGUGCCGGAGAGGGUGGCGGAAUUCCCGGUGUAGAGGUGAAAUUCGUAGAUAUCGGGAGGAACACCAGUGGCGAAGGCGGCGACCUGGACGGACACUGACGCUGAGGUGCGAAAGCGUGGGGAGCAAACAGGG